Molecule: ribosomal RNA, 253 nt
Filed under: uncultured Coprococcus sp.
Lineage: Bacteria; Bacillati; Bacillota; Clostridia; Lachnospirales; Lachnospiraceae
Description: partial 16S ribosomal RNA
Rfam family: Bacterial small subunit ribosomal RNA
Source: RNAcentral
UACGUAGGGGGCAAGCGUUAUCCGGAUUUACUGGGUGUAAAGGGAGCGUAGGUGGCAAGGCAAGUCAGAUGUGAAAACCCGGGGCUCAACUCCGGGACUGCUUUUGAAACUGCGUUGCUAGAUUGCGGGAGAGGCAAGUGGAAUUCCUAGUGUAGCGGUGAAAUGCGUAGAUAUUAGGAGGAACACCAGUGGCGAAGGCGGCUUACUGGACUGUAACUGACGUUGAGGCUCGAAAGCGUGGGGAGCAAACAGG